CCUACGGGAGGCAGCAGUCGAGAAUCAUUCACAAUGGGGGAAACCCUGAUGGUGCGACGCCGCGUGGGUGAAUGAAGGUCUUCGGAUUGUACACCCCUGUCAUGUGGGAGCAAAUUAAAAAGAUAGUACCACAAGAGGAAGAGACGGCUAACUCUGUGCCAGCCGCCGCGGUAAUACAGAGGUCGCAAGCGUUGUUCGGAAUCACUGGGCGUACAGCGUGCGUAGGCUGUUUCGUAAGUCGUGUGUGAAAGGCGCGGGCACAACCCGCGGACUGCGCAUGAUACUGCGAGACUAGAGUAAAGGAGGGGGAACCGGAAUUCUCGGUGUAGCAGUGAAAUGCGUAGAUAUCGAGAGGAACACUCGUGGCGAAGGCGGGUUCCUGGACAUUAACUGACGCUGAGGCACGAAGGCCAGGGGAGCGAAAGGGAUUAGAUACCCCUGUAGUC
Molecule: ribosomal RNA, 446 nt
Filed under: uncultured bacterium
Lineage: Bacteria
Description: partial 16S ribosomal RNA
Rfam family: Bacterial small subunit ribosomal RNA
Source: RNAcentral